CAAGAAAAGGCUUUUCAAAACUCUUAGAAUGUAUUCCAAGAGCAGUGCACAUAUUCAGAAGCUAAUUAUGUAAUUUCUUAUAUGUUGCUUUGAGGCAAAUUGAACAGGGAUUUGUUUGGCUUCCAAAUGGUUUGUUGGUCCUAAAAUAGUCAGAAUCACAUGACAUCUGUGCUAUAGAUAUGGACCUCGGUGGUUUUCUCCACAUUAGGAAAGCUGGAAGAGCCUUUUGAACUCAGUUUUUUUGCUAACAGUGGUGUUAUGGUGAAACAGAGUUUUGUGUGUAUGUACCAACAGCUAAAAUGUAAACACGACAUUAUCAUAGUUGAGUACAGGAAUAAUUAUCUCUUAUAUCUUAUUGCAAAA
Molecule: long non-coding RNA, 363 nt
Organism: Zea mays
Lineage: Eukaryota; Viridiplantae; Streptophyta; Magnoliopsida; Poales; Poaceae
Exons: 2
Source: RefSeq, a predicted model, not a curated record